RNAcentral lists this ribosomal RNA (439 nucleotides) under uncultured bacterium. RNAcentral's name for it is "partial 16S ribosomal RNA". It matches the Rfam family "Bacterial small subunit ribosomal RNA", at positions 339 to 795 of the family's 1533-position model. The record is from RNAcentral.
CUACGGGGGGCUGCAGUGGGGAAUCUUAGACAAUGGGGGAAACCCUGAUCUAGCCAUGCCGCGUGAGCGACGACGGCCCUAGGGUUGUAAAGCUCUUUCAGCAGGGAAGAUAAUGACGGUACCUGCAGAAGAAGUCCCGGCGAACUCCGUGCCAGCAGCCGCGGUAAUACGGAGGGGACUGGCGUUGUUCGGAAUUACUGGGCGUAAAGCGCGCGUAGGCGGAUUGUUAAGUCGGGGGUGAAAUCCCGGGGCUCAACCCCGGAACUGCCCUCGAUACUGGCAGUCUUGAGUUCGAGAGAGGUGAGUGGAAUUCCGAGUGUAGAGGUGAAAUGCGUAGAUAUUCGGAGGAACACCAGUGGCGAAGGCGGCUCACUGGCUCGAUACUGACGCUGAGGUGCGAAAGCGUUGGGAGCAAACAGGAUUAGAUACCCGUGUAGUC